CACGUAGGGCGCAAGCGUUGUCCGGAAUUAUUGGGCGUAAAGAGCUCGUAGGCGGUCUGUUGCGUCCGCUGUGAAAACCCGGGGCUUAACCCCUGGCUUGCAGUGGAUACGGACAGACUAGAGGUAGGUAGGGGAGAAUGGAAUUCCCGGUGUAGCGGUGAAAUGCGCAGAUAUCGGGAGGAACACCGGUGGCGAAGGCGGGUCUCUGGGCCGUAACUGACGCUGAGGAGCGAAAGCGUGGGGAGCGAACAGG
This 253-nucleotide ribosomal RNA is filed under the name uncultured bacterium. RNAcentral describes it as "partial 16S ribosomal RNA". It matches the Rfam family "Bacterial small subunit ribosomal RNA", at positions 524 to 776 of the family's 1533-position model. The record is from RNAcentral.